GGGGGGGGGGGGGGGGGGGGGGGGGGGGGGGGGGGGGGGGGGGGGGGGGGGGGGGGGGGGGGGGGGGGGGGGGGGGGGGGGCGCGCCUGUUGUUUGUUUCUUCAUCAGCGGAUUAAGAUUCGCGGUCGUUCCCCGCUGCCAUUGGCUGCGCUGUGGUGACGUCGCCUCAUUUGCAUAUGACAUUGAGACGUCACAGCGCUUCCCCCCUUGUCCCGCCGCGACCCCGCCGGCCCGGGGCGAUGCCGGUGCCGGUGGCGAGCGUGGCGCGGGGGACCCGCCCGCGGUGGUCACGCCUGGGUGGUCCCGUGUCCCGCCCGCGCCAGUCGCUGCUGUGGCUUUUCUCGGCAGGAAACGUGUUUCUCCCCCCCGUGAUGUUCAGACGCUUUCCGGGUGCAAAACGUGGCGUUUCGGAAAAGGAAUGUGGAUGUAUAAAUAUAAAUCCUGCCAGCCACUGGCAGAUUUUCCAGGACUGUGUGUGAUGAUAUCAAGCAGCACAAGGUCACAUUUACCCUUGGGGUAAGGACCUUCCUGCAGCAGCAACACAAGAGCCGGCAUGGAUGCAGAGACCAGCUCCAGAAAAAACAUCUCCUCCUCAUUCUGCAGGCUCCCCCUCCUUCAGGCAGGGUCUGGAGGAGCAUGUGGGAACUCCAGUCCCUGCUGAGACCCUGGACUGGCUGAGGAAAGCCCUCCCAGGUUCCUGUCUUGAUCUGCCAUUAAUUAAAAGGUCUCAUGAUGAAGAGAUUUUUUGGAUUUUUCAAGCUGCUCCCUGCCUUCCCCCCCUCCGCUCCCCUGAUCUGCCAUGGAAGAGGCUGUGGCUGUGACUCAGCCUCUGUUUUGCUUGAAUCAGCCUGCCUGUGUUGGCAGCACCUUGGGGUGCAGCUCUGCCCCUGUGCCCAGGGCUCCCCCAAGGGAAUCCCAUCCCAAUGGGCCUGCUGGCAAAGCGAUGGGAUCAGCUGGACCUGUGGCACACUUGUUGUGGGAGCAAGCGUGUUAAUUCAGCCCUGCCCAACCGUCCCAGGCG
RNAcentral lists this long non-coding RNA (1021 nucleotides) under Ficedula albicollis (Collared flycatcher). RNAcentral describes it as "lncRNA (ENSFALG00000028321.1)". Lineage: Eukaryota; Metazoa; Chordata; Aves; Passeriformes; Muscicapidae. The record is from RNAcentral.